CUCUUCUUCAGAGAUUUCCUUUCAGUAAGCAACUUUUCCAUCCUCUUAAUGUAUUCCUUUUUAGUAGGAAUCCAGAAGUAUUAGAUUGAAUGGAAAAGCAUUCUACAUUUUAGGGCUGGGGGAUCACAGAUUUAAAUGCCUCCUGUAUCAUAUGUGAUGGAGGUCUUGUGUAUCUGUGACAACAGGGAGUUUCCUUCUUCACUCUUCAUUUGCUGCUGUUUAAGUUGACAACUUCCCUUCCCAAUAAAAACUCACUUACACCUCCUGCCUUUGUAGUUCUGGUAUUCACUUUACUAUGUAAUAGAAGUAGCAUGUUGCUGCCAGAAUACAACCAUUGCUUUUGGCAAAUUAAAGUGCAUGUCAUUUCUUAAUACACUAGAAAGGGGGAAAAAAAGCACACAGUCCAGUCUAAAACAUUAGUACUUUUCCAUGCAGAUUUGUGCACAUGUGAGAGGGUGUCCAGUUUGUCUAGUGAUUGUUAUUUAGAGAGUUGGACCACUAUUGUAUGUUGCUAAUCAUUGACUGUAGUCCCAAAAAAGCCUUGUGAAAAUGUUAUGCCCUAUGUAACAGCAGAG
This 575-nucleotide long non-coding RNA is filed under the name Androctonus crassicauda. The record is from RNAcentral. Lineage: Eukaryota; Metazoa; Arthropoda; Arachnida; Scorpiones; Buthidae.